GUGCCUGUAGCUCAGCCGGAUAGAGCGCUGGCCUCCGGAGCCAGGUGCGCGGGUUCGAAUCCCGCCAGGCACU
This 73-nucleotide transfer RNA is filed under the name Spirochaetota bacterium. RNAcentral's name for it is "Spirochaetes bacterium (freshwater sediment metagenome) tRNA-Arg". It matches the Rfam family "tRNA". Rfam says of the family: Transfer RNA (tRNA) molecules are approximately 80 nucleotides in length. Their secondary structure includes four short double-helical elements and three loops (D, anti-codon, and T loops). Further hydrogen bonds mediate the characteristic L-shaped molecular structure. tRNAs have two regions of fundamental functional importance: the anti-codon, which is responsible for specific mRNA codon recognition, and the 3' end, to which the tRNAs corresponding amino acid is attached (by aminoacyl-tRNA synthetases). tRNAs cope with the degeneracy of the genetic code in two manners: having more than one tRNA (with a specific anti-codon) for a particular amino acid; and 'wobble' base-pairing, i.e. permitting non-standard base-pairing at the 3rd anti-codon position. Lineage: Bacteria; Pseudomonadati; Spirochaetota. The record is from RNAcentral.